GAUGAACGCUGGCGGCGUGCCUAAUACAUGCAAGUCGAGCGAACAGAUGAGGAGCUUGCUCCUCUGACGUUAGCGGCGGACGGGUGAGUAACACGUGGAUAACCUACCUAUAAGACUGGGAUAACUUCGGGAAACCGGAGCUAAUACCGGAUAAUAUAUUGAACCGCAUGGUUCAAUAGUGAAAGACGGUUUUGCUGUCACUUAUAGAUGGAUCCGCGCCGCAUUAGCUAGUUGGUAAGGUAACGGCUUACCAAGGCGACGAUGCGUAGCCGACCUGAGAGGGUGAUCGGCCACACUGGAACUGAGACACGGUCCAGACUCCUACGGGAGGCAGCAGUAGGGAAUCUUCCGCGAUGGGCGAAAGCCUGACGGAGCAACGCCGCGUGAGUGAUGAAGGUCUUCGGAUCGUAAAACUCUGUUAUUAGGGAAGAACAAAUGUGUAAGUAACUAUGCACGUCUUGACGGUACCUAAUCAGAAAGCCACGGCUAACUACGUG
Molecule: ribosomal RNA, 497 nt
Filed under: uncultured bacterium
Lineage: Bacteria
Description: partial 16S ribosomal RNA
Rfam family: Bacterial small subunit ribosomal RNA
Source: RNAcentral